ACAAAUCCAAUAAUUGUGGGGAACUUCUUGUUCUUCUGCAAAUAUUAAUCCGCCGGCGGCUAUAAUGGCAGCUGGCUGUGAUAUAAAUGCGUGUUAUGUUGACAGUGUGUGUAAAAAUUAAUAUUGA
RNAcentral lists this unclassified non-coding RNA (127 nucleotides) under uncultured Rozellomycota. RNAcentral describes it as "uncultured Cryptomycota sequence contains ITS1". The record is from RNAcentral. Lineage: Eukaryota; Fungi; Rozellomycota.